CUUGGUGUGAAUUGCAGAAUCCCGUGAACCAUCGAGUCUUUGAACGCAAGUUGCGCCCGAAGCCAUUAGGCCCAGGGCACGUCUGCCUGGGCGUCACGC
This 99-nucleotide ribosomal RNA is filed under the name Daucus mirabilis. Its description in RNAcentral is "partial 5.8S ribosomal RNA". It matches the Rfam family "5.8S ribosomal RNA", at positions 61 to 154 of the family's 154-position model. Rfam says of the family: 5.8S ribosomal RNA (5.8S rRNA) is a component of the large subunit of the eukaryotic ribosome. It is transcribed by RNA polymerase I as part of the 45S precursor that also contains 18S and 28S rRNA. Lineage: Eukaryota; Viridiplantae; Streptophyta; Magnoliopsida; Apiales; Apiaceae. The record is from RNAcentral.